CCUACGGGAGGCAGCAGUGGGGAAUAUUGGACAAUGGGGGAAACCCUGAUCCAGCGACGCCGCGUGUGUGAAGAAGGCCUGCGGGUUGUAAAGCACUUUUAGUGGGGAGGAAAACCCCUGACCUAACACGUCAGGAAUUGACUUAACCCAAAGAAAAAGCACCGGCUAACUCUGUGCCAGCAGCCGCGGUAAUACAGAGGGUGCAAGCGUUAAUCGGAAUUACUGGGCGUAAAGCGUGCGUAGACGGUUAUCUAAGUCGGAUGUGAAAUCCCCGGGCUCAACCUGGGAAUUGCAUUCGAGACUGAAUAGCUAGGGUGCGGAAGAGGGAAGCGGAAUUUCCGGUGUAGCGGUGAAAUGCGUAGAUAUCGGAAGGAACAUCAGUGGCGAAAGCGGCUUCCUGGUCCAGCACCGACGUUCAGGCACGAAAGCGUGGGGAGCAAACAGGAUUAGAUACCCUGGUAGUCCACGCCGUAAACGGUGGGUGCUAGUUGUGGGCCACAUUCCACGUGGUCCGUGACGAAGUUAACACAUUAAGCACCCCGCCUGGGGAGUACGGUCGCAAGACUAAAACUCAAAGGAAUUGACGG
This 587-nucleotide ribosomal RNA is filed under the name uncultured bacterium. RNAcentral's name for it is "bacterial SSU rRNA". It matches the Rfam family "Bacterial small subunit ribosomal RNA", at positions 338 to 916 of the family's 1533-position model. The record is from RNAcentral.